This 501-nucleotide ribosomal RNA is filed under the name uncultured bacterium. RNAcentral describes it as "partial 16S ribosomal RNA". It matches the Rfam family "Bacterial small subunit ribosomal RNA", at positions 30 to 523 of the family's 1533-position model. The record is from RNAcentral.
AUUGAACGCUGGCGGCAGGCUUAACACAUGCAAGUCGAGCGGGGGAAGGUAGCUUGCUACCGGACCUAGCGGCGGACGGGUGAGUAAUGCUUAGGAAUCUGCCUAUUAGUGGGGGACAACAUCUCGAAAGGGAUGCUAAUACCGCAUACGUCCUACGGGAGAAAGCAGGGGAUCUUCGGACCUUGCGCUAAUAGAUGAGCCUAAGUCGGAUUAGCUAGUUGGUGGGGUAAAGGCCUACCAAGGCGACGAUCUGUAGCGGGUCUGAGAGGAUGAUCCGCCACACUGGGACUGGGACACGGCCCAGACUCCUACGGGAGGCAGCAGUGGGGAAUAUUGGACAAUGGGGGGAACCCUGAUCCAGCCAUGCCGCGUGUGUGAAGAAGGCCUUAUGGUUGUAAAGCACUUUAAGCGAGGAGGAGGCUACUCUAGUUAAUACCUAGGGAUAGUGGACGUUACUCGCAGAAUAAGCACCGGCUAACUCUGUGCCAGCAGCCGCGGUAA